UGACAGACAAUUGUCUUUUUGUCAAAUUUAAAGACAAAAGAAACAGAUCUUUCAUGAUUAUGUGAUGGGUGGUGCAUGGCCGUUCUUAGUUCGUGGAGUGAUCUGUCUGCUUAAUUGCGUUUCAAAUAUAUUUUAUUAUAUAACGAGUCUACAAAGGAGUGGUUCAUUAACAGACAAUCAUAUCUUUGAGCGUCUGGAAUCUACUCUAUUUGGCUCAAUUGAACGCAACGGACGUGAUCGCGAGUCCUUGUUGAACUUCAGUAUAUAUUGACUUUCCCCGUAGGAAGGGAUUGGCAAUAAUUGAAUGUUCGCUUUCUAUAGGUGUGUAUGAUUAAUCUCAAAAUUACAUGUAUUUGUAAUGGCGAGUAUAAUUUACUAUCCUAUAGGAAA
This 390-nucleotide ribosomal RNA is filed under the name Globigerinella siphonifera. RNAcentral's name for it is "partial small subunit ribosomal RNA". The record is from RNAcentral. Lineage: Eukaryota; Foraminifera; Rotaliida; Globigerinidae.